CUUCGAUCUUUCUAGCGAGCUCAGCUCACACUAUUGUGCCUCUAGUCAUCAUUCUUCCUUCAUUCUUCCUCCUUCCGCCAGCGUCCUCUUUAAUCUCCAACACUACAGCUGCGCUUUUACAGACGGUGUGUUGAAAACGUGAGAUUUCUUCCUCCGUCAUCAUCCCCUGUCUCUUUUCGGCUCUGUGGUCGAUGGAGGUGCUUGUUGUGCGCCCUCAGUCUUCACCUCUUCAUCCUUUCUCAGCUAUAAGUAUCACAGGGGUUUAUGUGAUAUUGUAGCUAAACUUGCGCUUCUUGUGGUCUAUUGAGGAACCCUAUUGUUUUUGGAAGGAGGAAGUGCAUUGUGAAUAUCCGUUUUUGGUAAAAUUUUGUAUUAUAUAAUUGUACGAUAGUGCUCC
This is a long non-coding RNA of Prosopis cineraria, 397 nucleotides long. RefSeq lists it as uncharacterized. The transcript has 3 exons. NCBI's taxonomy places the organism in Eukaryota, Viridiplantae, Streptophyta, Magnoliopsida, Fabales, Fabaceae. The record is from RefSeq and is a predicted model, not a curated record.